CCUACGGGAGGCAGCAGUGGGGAAUAUUGGGCAAUGGGCGCAAGCCUGACCCAGCAACGCCGCGUGAAGGAAGAAGGCCCUCGGGUUGUAAACUUCUUUUGUCAGGGACGAAGCAAGUGACGGUACCUGACGAAUAAGCAACGGCUAACUACGGGCCAGCAGCCGCGGGAAUACGUAGGUGGCAAGCGUUAGCCGGAUUGACUGGGUGUAAAGGGCGUGUAGGCGGGGAAGCAAGUCAGAGGUUAAAUUCCAGGGCUCAACCCUGGAACUGCAUUUGAAACUGUUUUUCUUGAGUGAUGGCGCGCCCGGCCGCAUUCCGUGUGUAGCGGUGAAAUGCGUCGAUAUACGGAGGAA
This 354-nucleotide ribosomal RNA is filed under the name uncultured bacterium. RNAcentral describes it as "partial 16S ribosomal RNA". It matches the Rfam family "Bacterial small subunit ribosomal RNA", at positions 338 to 706 of the family's 1533-position model. The record is from RNAcentral.